Molecule: ribosomal RNA, 500 nt
Filed under: uncultured Glomeromycotina
Lineage: Eukaryota; Fungi; Glomeromycota
Description: partial small subunit ribosomal RNA
Rfam family: Eukaryotic small subunit ribosomal RNA
Source: RNAcentral
CCAAUAGCGUAUAUUAAAGUUGUUGCAGUUAAAAAGCUCGUAGUUGAAUUUCGGGGUUAGUAGGUUGGUCAUGCCUCUGGUAUGUACUGGUCUCACUGAUUCCUCCUUCCUGAUGAGCCGUAAUGCCAUUAAUUUGGUGUUGCGGGGAAUUUGGACUGUUACUUUGAAAAAAUUUGAGUGUUUAAAGCAAGCUAACGCUUGAAUACAUUAGCCUGGAAUAAUGAAAUAGGACGUUCGAUCCUAUUUUGUUGGUUUCUAGGAUUGACGUAAUGAUUAAUAGGGAUAGUUGGGGGCAUUAGUAUUCAAUUGUCAGAGGUGAAAUUCUUGGAUUUAUUGAAGACUAACUACUGCGAAAGCAUUUGCCAAGGAUGUUUUCAUUAAUCAAGAACGAAAGUUAGGGGAUCGAAGACGAUCAGAUACCGUCGUAGUCUUAACCAUAAACUAUGCCGACUAGGGAUCGGAUGAUGUUAAUUUUUUAAUGACUCAUUCGGCGCCUUACG